UGUUUCGGCUAGGGGGCCAUCCCGGCUUACCAACCCGAUGCAAACUGCGAAUACCGGAGAAUGUUAUCACGGGAGACACACGGCGGGUGCUAACGUCCGUCGUGAAGAGGGAAACAACCCAGACCGCCAGCUAAGGUCCCAAAGUCAUGGUUAAGUGGGAAACGAUGUGGGAAGGCCCAGACAGCCAGGAUGUUGGCUUAGAAGCAGCCAUCAUUUAAAGAAAGCGUAAUAGCUCACUGGUCGAGUCGGCCUGCGCGGAAGAUGUAACGGGGCUAAACCAUGCACCGAAGCUGCGGCAGCGAACGUAUCACCCAAGACAACUUUACGGAGUUAACGAUUGACGGAGCGAAGCGACGUCAAAGCGUUCAUUAAAGUCGAGUUGGCUUAGGGAUACGUUCGUUGGGUAGGGGAGCGUUCUGUAAGCCUGUGAAGGUGGCCUGUGAGGGUUGCUGGAGGUAUCAGAAGUGCGAAUGCUGACAUAAGUAACGAUAAAGCGGGUGAAAAGCCCGCUCGCCGGAAGACCAAGGGUUCCUGUCCAACGUUAAUCGGGGCAGGGUGAGUCGACCCCUAAGGCGAGGCCGAAAGGCGUAGUCGAUGGGAAACGGGUUAAUAUUCCCGUACUUGGUGUUACUGCGAAGGGGGGACGGAGAAGGCUAUGUUGGCCGGGCGACGGUUGUCCCGGUUUAAGCGUGUAGGCUGGUUUUCCAGGCAAAUCCGGAAAAUCAAGGCUGAGGCGUGAUGACGAGGCACUACGGUGCUGAAGCAACAAAUGCCCUGCUUCCAGGAAAAGCCUCUAAGCAUCAGGUAACAUCAAAUCGUACCCCAAACCGACACAGGUGGUCAGGUAGAGAAUACCAAGGCGCUUGAGAGAACUCGGGUGAAGGAACUAGGCAAAAUGGUGCCGUAACUUCGGGAGAAGGCACGCUGACAUGUAGGUGAAGUGAUUUACUCAUGGAGCUGAAGUCAGUCGAAGAUACCAGCUGGCUGCAACUGUUUAUUAAAAACACAGCACUGUGCAAACACGAAAGUGGACGUAUACGGUGUGACGCCUGCCCGGUGCCGGAAGGUUAAUUGAUGGGGUCAGCGCAAGCGAAGCUCCUGAUCGAAGCCCCGGUAAACGGCGGCCGUAACUAUAACGGUCCUAAGGUAGCGAAAUUCCUUGUCGGGUAAGUUCCGACCUGCACGAAUGGCGUAAUGAUGGCCAGGCUGUCUCCACCCGAGACUCAGUGAAAUUGAACUCGCUGUGAAGAUGCAGUGUACCCGCGGCAAGACGGAAAGACCCCGUGAACCUUUACUAUAGCUUGACACUGAACAUUGAGCCUUGAUGUGUAGGAUAGGUGGGAGGCUUUGAAGUGUGGACGCCAGUCUGCAUGGAGCCGACCUUGAAAUACCACCCUUUAAUGUUU
RNAcentral lists this ribosomal RNA (1406 nucleotides) under Salmonella enterica subsp. enterica serovar Poona. Its description in RNAcentral is "partial 23S ribosomal RNA". It matches the Rfam family "Bacterial large subunit ribosomal RNA", at positions 911 to 2215 of the family's 2925-position model. The record is from RNAcentral. Lineage: Bacteria; Pseudomonadati; Pseudomonadota; Gammaproteobacteria; Enterobacterales; Enterobacteriaceae.